This 228-nucleotide ribosomal RNA is filed under the name uncultured Gardnerella sp. RNAcentral describes it as "partial 16S ribosomal RNA". It matches the Rfam family "Bacterial small subunit ribosomal RNA", at positions 127 to 354 of the family's 1533-position model. The record is from RNAcentral. Lineage: Bacteria; Bacillati; Actinomycetota; Actinomycetes; Bifidobacteriales; Bifidobacteriaceae.
UGCCCCAUGCUCCAGAAUAGCUCUUGGAAACGGGUGGUAAUGCUGGAUGCUCCAACUUGACGCAUGUCUUGUUGGGAAAGUGUUUAGUGGCAUGGGAUGGGGUCGCGUCCUAUCAGCUUGUAGGCGGGGUAAUGGCCCACCUAGGCUUCGACGGGUAGCCGGCCUGAGAGGGCGGACGGCCACAUUGGGACUGAGAUACGGCCCAGACUCCUACGGGAGGCAGCAGAC